AGAGUUUGAUCCUGGCUCAGGAUGAACGCUGGCGGCGUGCUUAACACAUGCAAGUCGAACGAACCUUCGGGUUAGUGGCGGACGGGUGAGUAACGCGUGAGAAUCUGCCCUCAGGAGGGGGAUAACGGUUGGAAACGACCGCUAAUACCCCAUAUGCCUACUGGUGAAAUGAAUUUCGCCUGAGGAUGAGCUCGCGUCUGAUUAGCUAGUUGGUGAGGUAAUGGCUCACCAAGGCUUCGAUCAGUAGCUGGUCUGAGAGGAUGAUCAGCCACACUGGGACUGAGACACGGCCCAGACUCCUACGGGAGGCAGCAGUGGGGAAUUUUCCGCAAUGGGCGAAAGCCUGACGGAGCAACGCCGCGUGAGGGACGAAGGCCUCUGGGCUGUAAACCUCUUUUCUCAAGGAAGAAGAUAUGACGGUACUUGAGGAAUAAGCCACGGCUAAUUCCGUGCCAGCAGCCGCGGUAAUACGGGAGUGGCAAGCGUUAUCCGGAAUUAUUGGGCGUAAAGCGUCCGCAGGCGGCUUUUCAAGUCUGCUGUUAAAGCGUGGAGCUUAACUCCAUCAUGGCAGUGGAAACUGAAAGGCUUGAGUAUGGUAGGGGCAGAGGGAAUUCCCGGUGUAGCGGUGAAAUGCGUAGAUAUCGGGAAGAACACCAGUGGCGAAGGCGCUCUGCUGGGCCAUUACUGACGCUCAUGGACGAAAGCCAGGGGAGCGAAAGGGAUUAGAUACCCCUGUAGUCCUGGCCGUAAACG
RNAcentral lists this ribosomal RNA (753 nucleotides) under marine metagenome. RNAcentral's name for it is "bacterial SSU rRNA". It matches the Rfam family "Bacterial small subunit ribosomal RNA", at positions 8 to 808 of the family's 1533-position model. The record is from RNAcentral.